AACGAACGCUGGCGGCAGGCCUAACACAUGCAAGUCGAGCGAACCUUCGGGUUAGCGGCGGACGGGUUAGUAACGCGUGGGAACGUGCCCCUUCACUACGGAAUAGUCCCCGGGAAAACUGGGUUUAAUACCGUAUACGCCCCUUCGGGGAAAGAAUUCGGUGAAGGAUCGGCCCGCGUUAGAUUAGGUAGUUGGUGGGGUAAUGGCCUACCAAGCCUACGAUCUAUAGCUGGUUUGAGAGGAUGAUCAGCAACACUGGGGACUGAGACACGGCCCAGACUCCUACGGGAGGCAGCAGUGGGGAAUCUUAGACAAUGGGGGAAACCCUGAUCUAGCCAUGCCGCGUGAGUGACGAAGGCCCUAGGGUCGUAAAGCU
RNAcentral lists this ribosomal RNA (376 nucleotides) under uncultured Alphaproteobacteria bacterium. RNAcentral's name for it is "bacterial SSU rRNA". It matches the Rfam family "Bacterial small subunit ribosomal RNA", at positions 29 to 432 of the family's 1533-position model. The record is from RNAcentral. Lineage: Bacteria; Pseudomonadati; Pseudomonadota; Alphaproteobacteria.